GGGGAUAUAGCACAAUGGUAGUGCAUUACCUUUCAAUAUAGUUUUAUGGGUUUAGUAAAGACUGUAGGUUCGAUUCCUACUAUCCCCU
This 88-nucleotide transfer RNA is filed under the name Entamoeba invadens IP1. It matches the Rfam family "tRNA". Rfam says of the family: Transfer RNA (tRNA) molecules are approximately 80 nucleotides in length. Their secondary structure includes four short double-helical elements and three loops (D, anti-codon, and T loops). Lineage: Eukaryota; Evosea; Mastigamoebida; Endamoebidae. The record is from Rfam by way of RNAcentral.